Molecule: ribosomal RNA, 429 nt
Filed under: Acidobacteriota bacterium
Lineage: Bacteria; Pseudomonadati; Acidobacteriota
Description: Acidobacteria bacterium partial 16S ribosomal RNA
Rfam family: Bacterial small subunit ribosomal RNA
Source: RNAcentral
UGGGGAAUUUUGGACAAUGGGGGAAACCCUGAUCCAGCCGUCCCGCGUGUGCGAUGAAGGCCUUCGGGUUGUAAAGCACUUUUGGCAGGAAAGAAACGUCAUGGGUUAAUACCCCGUGAAACUGACGGUACCUGCAGAAUAAGCACCGGCUAACUACGUGCCAGCAGCCGCGGUAAUACGUAGGGUGCAAGCGUUAAUCGGAAUUACUGGGCGUAAAGCGUGCGCAGGCGGUUCGGAAAGAAAGAUGUGAAAUCCCAGAGCUCAACUUUGGAACUGCAUUUGUAACUACCGGGCUAGAGUGUGUCAGAGGGAGGUGGAAUUCCGCGUGUAGCAGUGAAAUGCGUAGAUAUGCGGAGGAACACCGAUGGCGAAGGCAGCCUCCUGGGAUAACACUGACGCUCAUGCACGAAAGCGUGGGGAGCAAACAGG